CUUACCAUGUGCUAAGUAGCCAGUGAGCUCUGAGCGAGACUGAUGGGUUAAUACACCGGGGGGUGGACAGGACAGAAGGGACCAGGACCUCAGCGAGGCCCCAGAAAGCUCACAGGAGGGGCCUCCGAUCCUGCCUGGGGAGGGAGGGCUUAGGGUAGGAUUCCUGGAAGAAGGAGGACCUAGGCUGAGUGUUUCUAUUUUUAAUUUUUAUUGGUUUCCUAAAACAUAAAAGU
Equus caballus (horse) is the source of this 233-nucleotide non-coding RNA. The record is from Rfam. NCBI's taxonomy places the organism in Eukaryota, Metazoa, Chordata, Mammalia, Perissodactyla, Equidae.